Molecule: ribosomal RNA, 504 nt
Filed under: uncultured bacterium
Lineage: Bacteria
Description: bacterial SSU rRNA
Rfam family: Bacterial small subunit ribosomal RNA
Source: RNAcentral
ACGGCCUUCGGGUUGUAAACCUCUUUCAGCAGGGACGAAGCGAAAGUGACUUUACCUGCAGAAGAAGCACCGGCCAACUACGUGCCAGCAGCCGCGGUAAUACGUAGGGUGCGAGCGUUGUCCGGAAUUAUUGGGCGUAAAGGGCUCGUAGGCGGUUUGUCGCGUCGGGAGUGAAAACUCAGGGCUCAACCCUGAGCCUGCUUCCGAUACGGGCAGACUAGAGGUAUGCAGGGGAGAAUGGAAUUCCUGGUGUAGCGGUGAAAUGCGCAGAUAUCAGGAGGAACACCGGUGGCGAAGGCGGUUCUCUGGGCAUUACCUGACGCUGAGGAGCGAAAGUGUGGGGAGCGAACAGGAUUAGAUACCCUGGUAGUCCACACCGUAAACGUUGGGCGCUAGGCGUGGGACUCAUUCCACGAGUUUCGUGCCGCAGCUAACGCAUUAAGCGCCCCGCCUGGGGAGUACGGCCGCAAGGCUAAAACUCAAAGGAAUUGACGGAAUCGAAUU